This is a long non-coding RNA of Cyprinus carpio (common carp), 960 nucleotides long. The record is from Ensembl. NCBI's taxonomy places the organism in Eukaryota, Metazoa, Chordata, Actinopteri, Cypriniformes, Cyprinidae.
CAAAGGCUUAUAUGCUCUGAUGAAACGGCUAUUUUUCUUAGAGGAGCCCUUAAAGGAACAGUUCACCCAAAAAUUAAAAUGAGCUGAUAAUUCACUCACCCUCAGGCCAUCCAAGAUUGGGAUGCAUUUGUUUCUUCAUCAGAUUUGUAGAAAGACCACUUUUUCACUGGAGGAACUGUAUUGUGAUGUUUUUAUCAGCUGUUUGGACUCUCAUUCUGACGGCACCCAUUCACUACAGAGCAUCCAUUGCUGAGACACUGAUGCAAUGCUACAUUUCUACAAAAUCUGACGAAGAAACAAACUCAUCUCAAUCUUGGAUGGCAUGAGGGUACACAUUUCCAGCUCAUUUUCAAUGCCAAGUUUAUGUGAGCUUUUUAAUGUUUCAGAAUGACUUUCCCAGAGUAACAUUUCUUUAAACUGAUCCGUUGCUCUUUGUUUCUCAGAUCAGUGAUCUCCCGAUCGAGGUUAGUGCCUGUAAUUUCAACCCCUGAAUACGAACGAACACACAAACGGUUCUAAAAUGUUGUUUUGCUGUGUUUUAUUCCACAGGAACAGCAUGAGUGAUAAUAUAUCUCUGGUGUUGGGGACCUUCUACAUGCAGCGUGUGGUCCAAUAUGAAAGGAAGCUUCUUAGCCUGGAGGCACGCAAGCAGAGACGCAAACCCGGACGAGCCUCCGCCGGAAGAAGAUGAGCAGGAAACCAAGCAAAUGGCGGAGAGUUUGGACAGGAUUCCAGAUGGAGGGCGCUGCAUCAACUCCAGAGUUUUCCAGGAGUUUAUUCUGGAGGCGAGGUCACUGUGAUGCGUCUAGAGCACUUCCCUUUACUUGGACAAAUAGAGAGGAUGACUGGCUUACUCUGGUGGCUGUUUUUGCUUGGAGGAAGUCCUUGCGUUCUACACACAGAAGCGUGUUUCUUGGGCAGGAAGUGUGGCAGCUGCAGAGUCGAGAGGAACAGCGAUGA